CUACGGGCGGCUGCAGUGGGGAAUAUUGCUCAAUGGGCGCAAGCCUGAUGCAGCCAUGCCGCGUGUAUGAAGAAGGCCUUCGGGUUGUAAAGUACUUUCAGCGGGGAGGAAGGGAGUAAAGUUAAUACCUUUGCUCAUUGACGUUACCCGCAGAAGAAGCACCGGCUAACUCCGUGCCGGCAGCCGCGGUAAUACGGAGGGUGCAAGCGUUAAUCGGAAUUACUGGGCGUAAAGCGCACGCAGGCGGUUUGUUAAGUCAGAUGUGAAAUCCCCGGGCUCAACCUGGGAACUGCAUCUGAUACUGGCAAGCUUGAGUCUCGUAGAGGGGGGUAGAAUUCCAGGUGUAGCGGUGAAAUGCGUAGAGAUCUGGAGGAAUACCGGUGGCGAAGGCGGCCCCCUGGACGAAGACUGACGCUCAGGUGCGAAAGCGUGGGGAGCAAACAGGAUUAGAUACCCGUGUAGUC
RNAcentral lists this ribosomal RNA (464 nucleotides) under uncultured bacterium. RNAcentral describes it as "partial 16S ribosomal RNA". It matches the Rfam family "Bacterial small subunit ribosomal RNA", at positions 339 to 795 of the family's 1533-position model. The record is from RNAcentral.